Molecule: ribosomal RNA, 372 nt
Filed under: uncultured organism
Description: partial 16S ribosomal RNA
Rfam family: Bacterial small subunit ribosomal RNA
Source: RNAcentral
GUAGGUGGCAAGCGUUGUCCGGAAUUAUUGGGCGUAAAGCGCGCGCAGGCGGUUCUUUAAGUCUGAUGUGAAAGCCCACGGCUCAACCGUGGAGGGUCAUUGGAAACUGGAGAACUUGAGUACAGAAGAGGAAAGCGGAAUUCCACGUGUAGCAGUGAAAUGCGUAGAGAUGUGGAGGAACACCAGUGGCGAAGGCGGCUUUCUGGUCUGUAACUGACGCUGAGGCGCGAAAGCGUGGGGAGCAAACAGGGAUUAGAUACCCUGGUAGUCCACGCCGUAAACGAUGAGUGCUAAGUGUUAGGGGGUUUCCGCCCCCUUAGUGCUGCAGCUAACGCAUUAAGCACUCCGCCUGGGGAUACGGCCGCAAGGCUG